This is a non-coding RNA of Petromyzon marinus (sea lamprey), 1670 nucleotides long. The record is from RefSeq and is a predicted model, not a curated record. Lineage: Eukaryota; Metazoa; Chordata; Hyperoartia; Petromyzontiformes; Petromyzontidae.
UUUGCAGCUGCAGAUUCUCACCUGCCCUGCAUUUGAGAACGAAACUGCAGCUACAGAAAUAUCCCAUUUCAAUGAAGCCUCAACACUCCACCAAACUACAGGAGGCCCACGCGCUACAGUGACAUCACGAACUCAAGGCUGGAAAUCGAUCAACCACACCACCUCUCAGAGACUUUGGAGACUUACCCUUCCUACCCUUCCUGCCCAUACGACCGAUGUGCACGCUUCCGCGGUGACAGAAGCUGUGGAGACUCUGGAGCCAUGCAGAUCCUCUGAGAUCCAGCACGUUAGGGUGGACGUGUAUCCAAGAUCGGUGAAACUGGAGUGGGAGUCACUGUCACCAGACCCUUGGGCAGCAUUCCAGGCAUGGACAGUGGACGAUUGUGUUCAACCUUGCGUUUAAAUCCGGUUUAUGUUACCGAGGGAGAAAAACACACCAAUAUGGAGGUGCAAAGAGGGCUCACCCACCUUGAAGUCUCCAAUCUAAUCCCAGCGACAAUGUACACCUUAUGCAUCAUCCCAUUCAGUGACCAGAUAAGGAAGUGCCUGUAUCCUGCAAGCUCCCAGUGCCAGACAGUUUUCACGGACAGGGAAUACUCCCAUUUCCCCAACGCUGCGGCUGCACUUCUGGGCUUACUACUGUUCUUCCUGCUGGUGCUCACACUGGUGCUGUGCCGAAGACGAUGCCUCCACGCCGUCCAGUUCCAGCGCCACUUCGACGAAGACAGCCUCACUAUGGAGCAUUCAGCCGUGCACUCACCUGACGUUGAGGUCAUCGGUGAGGAGUACACUGUCAGAAUGGAGGACAGCAAAAACGUGUUCACUCAGGUCGACAAAGCAUCUGUGUUCAAAUGAUUUUUCCUUAGUUCAGUGGUUCUUAACCAUUACUGCAGCCAUGCACCCCUUUGGUUCUCAAUGGUUAAAAAAACAUGUUCAUAAAUACAUAGGUCUGAUGAGACAAAGUAGUUGUACUUACGUGCCCGUGCUUAAAAAAAUCUGGUCAUGUCUCGCACCCCCAGAAAGGGCAUCUUGCACCUCCAGGGGGUGCAUCCACCCCAGGUUAAGAACCACUGCCUUAGUUCAGGGCCAUCGCUUAUAUACAAUGUCUUAUAAAACGUGAUGGUCCAGAUAUUUCAAAUCUUCUGAUUCGUAAAGAGUUCAGUUAUGCUUUUGAAAGAGAAAUUUACCGACAUCUUUCCCAAACCUUUGGAGUUCCUAGAUCCCAAAGUUUGUCAUGAAAAGUAAAUCAGUACCAAUGAUAUCAAGUGAAAUUCAAUCCAUUUUGUUGCAUUUAAUGUUAAAUAAAUAAAAAUUAUCAUUACACGCAGUUCUUAGAUGUUCUGUUACGAUUGUAAUUCAAAGUAAUUUUAUGAGAAACUGUAUAUAUACAGUGUAACAGUGUAGUGGAAUGAGAGCACCCACCACCAUACUUGUUCACCUUCUGACUGAAAAUAGGCAAUUUGGAAACUACAAUAAUGUACAUCACUGUACACCACAAUACUGUACACCACAAUAUUGUACUGUACAUCACUGUUUCAGAGACAGAAUAUUUUCCAUCAAAUAUAUGUGUGAAAAACUUUUAAAACUACACUUAAAAAAAAAUCCAAAAUUAAAAUCAUAUUCACAAUGAGUUUGCGUUUAAAUAAAUAAAAUUCCCACAGAAGAUGUUA